GACGGAGGAUGCAAGUGUUAUCCGGAAUCACUGGGCGUAAAGCGUCUGUAGGUGGUUUAAAAAGUCCACUGUUAAAGAUUGAAGCUUAACUUCAAAAAUGCCGAGGAAACUUUUAAACUUGAGUAUGAUAGGGGUAGAGGGAAUUUCCAGUGGAGCGGUGAAAUGCGUAGAUAUUGGAAAGACCACCAAUGGCGAAGGCACUCUACUGGGCCAUUACUGACACUGAGAGACGAAAGCUAGGGGAGCAAAUGGG
RNAcentral lists this ribosomal RNA (253 nucleotides) under uncultured bacterium. RNAcentral describes it as "partial 16S ribosomal RNA". It matches the Rfam family "Bacterial small subunit ribosomal RNA", at positions 524 to 776 of the family's 1533-position model. The record is from RNAcentral.